Molecule: ribosomal RNA, 56 nt
Filed under: Agaricus benesii
Lineage: Eukaryota; Fungi; Basidiomycota; Agaricomycetes; Agaricales; Agaricaceae
Description: partial 28S ribosomal RNA
Source: RNAcentral
GCCUCAAAUCCAGGAGGACUACCCCCCUAAACUAAAGAAAUAAAAAGCCGAAGAAA